This is a long non-coding RNA of Oncorhynchus nerka (sockeye salmon), 3361 nucleotides long. RefSeq lists it as uncharacterized. Lineage: Eukaryota; Metazoa; Chordata; Actinopteri; Salmoniformes; Salmonidae. The transcript is spliced from 2 exons. The record is from RefSeq and is a predicted model, not a curated record.
UGGAAGAGAGAUUUCCGACCAUGAUUUGAAGACGUGGAGCUAUUGAAUACACAUCGCCCCGUGAUCAAUUUGAUAGAUUAUUAUUAUUUUUAAAAAUGACGUUGCGUUUUGAAACAGUGUUUUUUUCUGGAUCACAGUUUUCAGAGAUGGAUAUUUUGGGUAUAUAUGGACCGAUUUAAUCGAGAAAAAAAAAGACCCAAUAGUGAUGUUUACAGUCUAACCAGACACCUAGGUGUUUGAAGUUGUCCAUAUAUUCUAAGUCAGAACCGUCCAGAGUAGUGAUGUUGGACAGGCGGGCAGGUGCAGGCAGCGAUCGGUUGAAGAGCAUCCCAAACUCGAACUUGUAUUUAAGAGCAAUUGGAGGCCACGGAAGGAGAGUUGUGAAGCUCGCCUGGAGGGUUGUUAACACAAUGUCCAAAGAAGGGCCAGAACUAUACAGAAUUGUGUCGUCUGCGUAGACGUGGAUCAGAGACUCACCAGCAGCAAGAGCGACAUCAUUGAUGUACAGUAUAUCACAAAAGUGAGUACACCCCUCACAUUUUUGUAAAUAUUUGAGUAUAUCUUUUCAUGUGACAACACUGAAGAAAUGACACUUUGCUACAAUGUAAAGUAGUGAGUGUACAGCUUGUAUAACAGUGUAAAUUUGCUGUCCCCUCAAAAUAACUCAACACACAGCAAUUAAUGUCUAAACCGCUGGCAACAAAAGUAAGUACACCCCUAACUGAAAAUGUCCAAAUUGGGCCCAAAGUGUCAAUAUUUUGUGUGGCCACCAUCAUUUUCCAGCACUGCCUUAACCCUCUUGGGCAUGGAGUUCACCAGAGCUUCACAGGUUGCCACUGGAGUCCUCUUCCACUCCUCCAUGACGACAUCACGGAGCUGGUGGAUGUUAGAGGCCUUGCACUCCUCCACCUUCCAUUUGAGGAUGCCCCACAGAUGCUCAAUAGGGUUUAGGUCUGGAGACAUGCUUGGCCAGUCCAUCACCUUUACCCUCAGCUUCUUUAGCAAGGCAGUGGUCGUCUUGGAGGUGUGUUUGGGGUCAUUAUCAUGUUGGAAUACUGCCCUGCGGCCCAGUCUCCGAAGGGAGGGGAUCAUGCUCUGCUUCAGUAUGUCACAGUACAUGUUGGCAUUCAUGGUUCCCUCAAUGAACUGUAGCUCCCCAGUGCCGGCAGCACUCAUGAAGCCCCAGACCAUGACACUCCCACCACCAUGCUUGACUGUAGGCAUGACACACUUGUCUUUGUACUCCUCACCUGGUUGCCGCCACACACGCUUGACACCAUCUGAACCAAAUAAGUUUCUUGGUCUUAACAGACCACAGGACAUGGUUCCAGUAAUCCAUGUCCUUAGUCUGCUUGUCUUCAGCAAACUGUUUGCGGGCUUUCUUGUGCAUCAUCUUUAGAAGAGGCUUCCUUCUGGGACGACAGCCAUGCAGACCAAUUUGAUGCAGUGUACGGCGUAUGGUCUGAGCACUGACAGGCUGACCCCCCACCCCUUCAACCUCUGCAGCAAUGCUGGCAGCACUCAUAUGUCUAUUUCCUAAAGACAACAUCUGGAUAAAACUGAAUUGAAAGGGAUCCUCACAGAAGCUAAUCUCCUUGGCUACAUUUCAGACAAGGAGUUCAACGUUCUUUUCAAUGGCAGUAUGUCUUCUUUUUACCUUCUUCCAAAGGUCUACAAAAAUCUUGAAAAUCCCCCCAGGCAGACCAGUGGUAAUGAAAGUCUGACAGAACCCAUCUCUAAGUACAUUGAUUACUUUAUUAAGCCUUUUCUGACGUCACUCCCAGCCUAUCUUCAAGAUAACACAGAUGUGUUGAACAAAAUUAAGGAAUUGAACAAUAUAGGUACAGCUUCCUUUUUAGUCAACAUGGGUGUGGAGUCUCUAUACACCACCAUUGAGCAUGAACAAGUUUUGGCAGCUAUGCACCAUUUCUUGAGUACCCGACCUGAAACUGAGAUGCCUCCUACAGAAUUCAUUGACUCACUGACUGAAUGGACUCUUAAUCACAACAUCUUUAUCUUUCAGGACCGUAUUUCUAAACAAGUCAAAGGGUAUGCCAUGGGAGCUUGCUAUACAGCCCUUCCUAUGCUGGUUUGUACUUGGGUAAAUGGGAAAAUGACUUCAUUUUGGAUCCUUCUAAUAACCAUUUCUUUGUUUGCCUGUUUUGGUCUGGCUCAGAAGAUGAACUUAUUUCCUUCCACCAAUACCUUAACAACAUUAACCCUAACAUCAAACUAACUAUGGAGUAUGUUGUGGAGAAUUGUUUCAGAAAUAUAAUACUCUCAGAAGAACUUUGUGAAUUCAAUGUAGACUUUAAUACAAGUUAUUAAGAGCCGUGCUGGUCCGCGGAAUAGCCCCUUCUUAGCACGGGCUCUGCUUUUAUACAUACAUAGUAUUUUUGUACAUCACAUAUGUAAAUAAAGUUACUCCCCCUUAGUAUCUUCUUUUGGUUACAACGAUGGCAGAACUCUUUCCAUGUUCUAAAAAUAAUGUAUGUAUUGCAUGCUUAUGUUUUACGUGUUAGUCAUCAGCUAUCUUGCCUACAUCUUUCUUCCUGUAUCCUGCUGACCAUAGCACGUUCAGCUGUCAUGAAUGCACGUAUGGUCUUGGUUAAUGUAUUCUUUCAAAAAUAGAGUAUGGUCUGGGUGUCAUAUGGCCUGGAUAUCAUCUUCUCUUAAUGUGCAUGUCCUCGCUACUUCAGCCUAGCAGCCAAACCUAUCUACAUGCAAUGCUGAGCUUUCCUCAAUGGUUCGCUCCAACAAGUACAGCAAAGAUAACAUUCAUUUUUUGGACCUCGACAUGAGUAAAAAUGACAAAGGUUGUUUGCACACAUCUAUCUUUAGGAAGCCUACAGAUGGGAAUACCAUCUGGGGUCGUGAUGGGUCCAUUUGCUGUCAUCUAGUGGACAUUUUGCUUUAUUGCCCUCAGCUAUGGACAAUGACCCAAAACAUACCUUCAGGCUGUGUAAGAUUAUUUGACCAAGGAGCGCGAUGGAGUGCUGCAUCAGAUUACCUGGCCUCCACAAUCACCCAACCUCAACCCAAUUGAGAUGGUUUGGGAUGAGUUGGAGCGCAGAGUGAAGUAAAAUCAGCCAACAAGUGCUCAGCAUAUGUGGGAACUCCUUCAAAACUGUUGGAAAAGCAUUUCUCAUGAACCUGGUUGAGAGAAUGCCAAGAGUGUGCAAAACUGUCAUCAAGGCAAAGGGUGGCUACUUUGAAGAAUCUAAAAUCUAUUUUGAUUUGUUGAACACUUUUUGGGUUACUACAUGAUACCAUAUGCGUUAUAUGUUCAUAGUUUUGAUGUCUUCACUAUUAUUCUACAAUGUAGAAAAUAGUCAAAAUAAAGUAGGUGUGUUCAAACUUU